UGAGGAAACUCGCAGGGUGUUCGCCAC
This 27-nucleotide non-coding RNA is filed under the name Macaca fascicularis (crab-eating macaque). Lineage: Eukaryota; Metazoa; Chordata; Mammalia; Primates; Cercopithecidae. RNAcentral also lists the same sequence under 1 other name. The record is from RNAcentral.